CAGGACUGAAGUAUUACAGAAGACUGAGUUAUCUGAAAUAAGAAAGCCAAAUACUCAAUUUUCCUUCAGGACUGAAUAUGAAGCUUAUUGGAACAGGUGACUAUUACCAUCUGUCUAGGGACUACAGCACUUCAUAUUGACCUGUUCUGUACUGCCAAGCUGUAAAAUGAACCAAAAACAACAAAGAUCCUCUCUCUUGGCCACACUUCAGAAUCCAGGAAGAACUAGGUCAUCCGGAUCUCCUCAGGGGAUGUGGACGUCUAUGCGCAAAACUGGGAAGCAUCAGAAACUCCUCUGAAGGAAGAACACACAGACUCGCUGAGCGCUCCUUGGUCCAGCUGUGUUAAAAGUUAUCAUUUUAAUCUUCAUCGUGUGAUAAAAGCCUAAUGCAUCUCAUGCAUAUUAAUCAAUGUGCACUUAGGGGAAAGUGUUUCUGCUUAUUUUGAUGUUGUGGAGAAGCUAAAAUAUAUCUGUUUACCUAAGUAU
Molecule: long non-coding RNA, 486 nt
Organism: Misgurnus anguillicaudatus (oriental weatherfish)
Lineage: Eukaryota; Metazoa; Chordata; Actinopteri; Cypriniformes; Cobitidae
Source: RefSeq, a predicted model, not a curated record